This 395-nucleotide ribosomal RNA is filed under the name uncultured bacterium. Its description in RNAcentral is "bacterial SSU rRNA". It matches the Rfam family "Bacterial small subunit ribosomal RNA", at positions 30 to 429 of the family's 1533-position model. The record is from RNAcentral.
AUUGAACGCUGGCGGAAUGCUUUACACAUGCAAGUCGAACGGCAGCACGGGGCAACCUGGUGGCGAGUGGCGAACGGGUGAGUAAUACAUCGGAACGUGCCCAAUCGUGGGGGAUAACGUAGCGAAAGUUACGCUAAUACCGCAUACGAUCUACGGAUGAAAGCGGGGGAUCGCAAGACCUCGCGCGAAUGGAGCGGCCGAUGUCAGAUUAGGUAGUUGGUGGGGUAAAGGCUCACCAAGCCGACGAUCUGUAGCUGGUCUGAGAGGACGACCAGCCACACUGGGACUGAGACACGGCCCAGACUCCUACGGGAGGCAGCAGUGGGGAAUUUUGGACAAUGGGCGCAAGCCUGAUCCAGCCAUUCCGCGUGCAGGAUGAAGGCCUCGGUUGUAAC